Molecule: long non-coding RNA, 5195 nt
Filed under: Brassica napus (rape)
Lineage: Eukaryota; Viridiplantae; Streptophyta; Magnoliopsida; Brassicales; Brassicaceae
Description: long non-coding RNA (BNAP_LNC015035)
Source: RNAcentral
GAGGGAGGAGCUAACUUCCAUCAAAAUCAACUUCUAUUGCAAAACAACUUUAAUAUCACGUGUGUUCAUGCUUUGAUAUAAAGUUGUAAAGAAAAUCUUCUAAGAUACUUCACUAAGAAAUACCUAACUAUGAAAACUUUGGGUCUCAGAAAUGGUGCAGCUGUUUAUAGGAAAGAUGCGUUCCUAUGAUAUGAACUUAAUCUGUACCCAAGAAAUAAGAAUUAUUAAAAGAGUAGUUGAAUUUUGGACGUUUAAUCUGUGGACUUAUCUACAUGGUCAUCAUUUUCUUGUUUCUUUUUCACCGGUCAUGUGCUGCGCACUAAAACAUAGUUUAGUCCCUUUUCUAUUUUUCGGAUUUAGAUUACUUUUUACUUAGCGCACAUAUAAUCUAUACAGAAGCAUGAGUUUGGUCUUUAUGGUUGCGCUAGCGGCUCUUGUCUCCAAGUAAGACAUGUGGAUGUGGUAACAAGAACAUACAAUUGUUUUUAGUAUAGACUUUUGGUAAAUAUUUGGCUUUUUGGUAAUGAGUAAAAAGCCAAAUAAAUUACCAAAAGUCAGGAGAAUUUAUUUGGCUUUUUACUCAUUACCAAAAUUCUGACAACACCAUUGGUUUUGAAGCUUAUCGGUUAAAAGCCAAAUAAAUCCUAGCUAUCUCCAUGCUUUCCCAUCCGUCGUAUCCAGCCAGCUCAAUCAGAAUACUAAACCGUAUCACAUUCUUCCUUAGUCACUCAACCAACCAUCCCCACAUGACCAAGUAGACAUGAGAGACGGCUUGGUCUCCGACUAGCCAUCCAGUACAGAUAGUGCGCCAGCCUUGCUAGCGUCCCAGAACCAGUCGCUGAUCAUAUCUUGAUCAGACAGCACACACUCGGCUCUACAGCCCCAGAUCCAAUCAGUAACAACACGCAUCCAUCCAGUACAACUCUCGGUCCAGUCAACACUCAGUCCGCAAUGAAAAGUUACCAGCCAAUCCCUCAAAACUCGGCCUACACCAUAGUCGGUACACAACGCUAAGACUCGAUCCGAGUCUUAACCCCCAGUAUCACGAUCCACACCCAUCCAGCCGAUAAUCGCCUCGCACUGAACAUAUAUAUUCCCACCUCGUCUCAUACGCCAUCAGCACAACCAACAUAACUUGACCCCGUAUGUAACCGAUCCAGACUCCACCGAACCAGACCCUCUUGGACCUGCGAUCCAUCGGACAACACCCAGACUGCCAUUCCAGUUGAUCUCAGACUCAUUCAGAACGAUUUGCGACCGCACCACCAUUGAACGUAAAUGCCGAUCUUCCAGUAUUCGAUGUGUUCCAUCAGUAUACGACUCUUGUCAGUACAUACUAAGCCGAUAACCCCUUUUAUGUGGCUUGUGCACGGUCCCAUGGACUGUAACCACCGUAUAUUGCAGUAAGCACAUCGUGAACCAUCAUGUUCGAUCACUCAGUACGCGGCUCACCUUUAAUGACUCAGACUAAGCCGCACGCACUAUCGCUCGACUCUCGGACAGUCGAAUUAUGACCCGAUCGGCCCAUCUCCGUGGACUCAGUCUCUCUCGAUCAGAUUCUCCUCUUUCUCUCACUGUUGUUCUCUCUAUUUUUUUGUCGCUGUCUUUCUGUUCCAGUAAUCGUGUCCCCCUUUCUGACCGCGGAAAUCAGAAUAAAAGGAGUUUGGGCAGUUACCCCUUGGCCUUAACCACCCCUAACCGCUUAUCAACUUCUCCCGCGCUCAGUCAAGAAUAACUGUCUGCAGCAGUUUCUUUCCCUCGGCCCAACUGCCAAGUGACAGUUUUAAGGCAAUUCUGUAACCGUCCAGGUCGGUUAAUUCAUCCAGUAACCGCUCAGGUAACCGUCCUAAUAACUGCUCCCGCCUAUUUUCUUAGGCAAUCAGUACAUGUUUAGUUCAGUCCGUUCCCGCCAGAACGUAUAUUAAUCAGUCCAUAGACCGACUAACUACUCUCGAAAGACAAGUCCAAUUACCUUGUCUGAAUCCGACCAGCUUAGUUCGACAAAGCUCAAUUGCUAUGUCCCGACCUACAGUAUUGUCUUAAUCCGACCAAUACUAUUCAGACGAUAUGUUGCACAUGCAUUGUUCGUCUGAUCAAUCCAACUAAUACUCGACCUUGGACUGAUCCAGCUUAGACUGCAGGACGGGGAUGCUACACUUAUCCUAAAGUAUUUCUCUAUGAAUAUCUUUAAAUGUGCAAGAACUGAUAGAGACAUUUCAUAAGGAUAUUCAUCUUUGAUUCAAACAACACAUGUAUUUCUUUGCGUCUGUCUAUUUCUCUGAUCACAACUUUGUCCCUGAUUUCACCAAAGAUUUGUUGUCCCCUAAUAAUUACUUGACCUAAUAUUUUUGUGAUCACGUUCUAUUAGAUCUACUAACCAACAUGGGACCCCUUAUGCUAAUAAAAAACGGUGUAAAAAAGCAUGAGUCUGGUAGUUUUUGGCUUCUCUUGUAUAUAUACAAGUUCUCAACUUCUGUUGUAAGUAUAUAUAUAUAUAUUGUAUCUUGUUAUAUAAAUACAUAGCUUUCAUUCCCGCAUGAUCAUGUCUUCUCACCAUAAGCUUUAUAGUCCACAAUUUGUUUUGCACAUACAAUUGAUUAUGCCAACUUGGGACCAUCAUAGAUCAGAUAGAGUAGAAACAUAGGCAUGUGCUGUGUCUGGUUAGGUUUCUGAGGAGCUUGUCAUAAAGCCUGUCAAAACUAAUAGUUUCUCCUCCUAUAAAAUGAAACAAGGCAAUGGUAUUUUCCAUCAUUCAUUUCUGUCAUAACUAUCAUUCACAGAAUCACAUAGAGCUCUACAUCAGAACUUACAAAUCUGUUCUCUUUCUUUCUCCUUCUUACUUUUUGGAUUAAAUAUUUUUUAGAAAAUGAUAAUGAACACAAAGAAGCUAAUCAAGAUGGUCAAGAAAUGGCAACAAAGAGCAGCCCUCCACAGGAAAAGGAUCUCAUUUCAGAGGUCGAGUUCUGGUGGUAGCAGCUCAACGUCAUUAGAUAAGGGUUGCUUUGUGGUUUAUACGGCGGACAAAGCCCGCUUUACUUUUCCAAUAAGUUACCUGAGCAACUCUGUUUUCCAAGUACUCUUGAAAAUCUCUGAAGAAGAGUUCGGCCUCCCCACCGAAGGACCAAUUACAUUGCCAUUCGAUUCUGUUUUCUUGGAGUAUCUUAUCAAAUUGGUCCAGCGACGAAUGGAUGAAGAUACAGAAAAGGCUUUGUUAAUGUCAAUCUCUAGUGCUAGAUGUUCUUGGCAAUGCUCUUUGCAACUACAAGAUCAAAGUAGUUGUCAACAUUUGCUUGUAUUUUAGAGUGUAGCAGUUUCUGUAUUAUAUAGGCACAGAAAUAAACAUUAUUAUCUUCAUCUCUUCUCAUCAAAAUCAACUUUUUUUUUUUUUUUGGUUGAAAGUUACUUCUUUUUUUUUUACAUAAUUAUAUAUAUAAAAUCGACCUGAAUAAUCAGAAAUUCAGAUCCGGUUACAAACCCGCUUUGAACAAAACACCAAAGUCAAAAUAUUACAACCUAGUUUGGUCCGCCAAUUAAACCCGGCACAUUCCGCUAAACCAUUUUUCAAAAUUCUUUGGAAUCGGUUUCUGUUCUCAACCAUUGACGAUGAUCGCGGGACGGUGAGGUUCUCCUCGUUGCCUCGGAUACCGGGACUCCCCAUGUCGCCUUCGGAGUAGCUGGAUUCCGAUGAACUCCACGAAGCUUAUAACCGUCACUGUCUUUGAAGCACAAGAGGAGCAAUAAGGGAUUGUUCCAAAUACUUACCACGAUGCCUUGCAAAUGCCACCAAAGCCGGGAAUGUAUGAAACGCCACACAGCGCCUGAAACGCAGCCCUAAGAAGCAAGCACUCGCUACUGCCGCCAUCGAACCAACUACCUAAAAAAACGGGCUGAGAAGGAAACAACAUCAAACUGCAAUCUUCAGAACCUGCAAAGAAGAAAAGAACCGCCUGCGAGGUAGACGACACGAUCGCGUCCUUCCUCACACUGGGAUGACGGAAUCUGAAGCAAGGUCUCCACAUCACCAGCCAGACCCAAACUGACCCAGCCUGGAUUAACCGGCGAAUCCUAACUCCCGUACAGAGAACCCGUACGGGUCUUCCAUGCGCUUCUGGUGAAUACCUCGAUGGAGGAGAAACGAGGAUAAACCAAAAACAGGACCUGAACAAAUCCGACCAUAGAAGGUCAAGACAAAUCACAAAUUGAUGAAAUGGAGACAUAGGUGCAAAGGAAGAGCAGCUUCAAAGUGAGCGGAGCACAGCCAUAGACGACAGGACACCGGAAAUCACCCUCAGCUACGCACGAUAACCCCAUAGAAGUGUAGUCACCACACGGCCAUGGUCGCGCCGGCGACGAACAACAACCGCCUCCCCUGAGCGAGAGAAAAAACCCUUAACCGUUCGACAAGACCACAAGCCGACAGUGAAAGGUGACCUCCUCCCUCCUCUCCACAACGAAGAGCACUGUUCGAAUCAACUGGGGGAGAGAGACCUCUGAACUUCCAUACGCCUCCAGCUCGAGAACGCCGACGGGACCUACAAGUUAAAAUCAAGAUCCGCCUGAGCCAAGCCCUAAACGCCGACUUCGCCUUACCACAAACCCUCACCACCUCACAGGAACUCCAGAUCGAAGUCAACCAACCACGGAUCCAACCCCUCCGGAGAAGAUUAGAGACCCCGCGGCAGAGCUCCUUCCAGAGCGCCUAGUAUAUCGACGGCUUGGAGAGAGAGGUGAAAACGGAGCAAAGCACAAAGAAGAUGGUGAGAGAAGAGAGCCUCCGGCAGCCACGCGCCCGGCUGACAGCCGCCGGAGCAGAUCGGAGAAGAUGAAGAUGGAGUCUUGCUGGAGUUAGAGAGAGGGAGGAGCUAACUUCCAUCAAAAUCAACUUCUAUUGCAAAACAACUUUAAUAUCACGUGUGUUCAUGCUUUGAUAUAAAGUUGUAAAGAAAAUCUUCUAAGAUACUUCACUAAGAAAUACCUAACUAUGAAAACUUUGGGUCUCAGAAAUGGUGCAGCUGUUUAUAGGAAAGAUGCGUUCCUAUGAUAUGAACUUAAUCUGUACCCAAGAAAUAAGAAUUAUUAAAAGAGUAGUUGAAUUUUGGACGUUUAAUCUGUGGACUUAUCUACAUGGUCAUCAUUUUCUUGUUUCUUUUUCACCGGUCAUGUGCUGCGCACUAAAACAUAGUUUAGUCCCUUUU